GGAACCUGCAACCAAGGAGAUGGCAGAUAGGUACUUUGGACCUGUUGGUAAUGAUGGCCUGAGCUAAACACCUAAUUUGAAGGGACACCCUCCGUGUCAGAGCACAGAAUGCUGAGGAAGCUAUGGCAAGUGAUUGGAGUUGUGCUUCAAAAAUUUCAGCACUUCAACAAUAUUUUAUCUGCCAACAAUAAAUUCUUUACUUGAUUGCACCAUGAAAAAGCUGCUAAUGAGACUUGUUGAGCAUAAAAACGGACCUGAAGAACCAAAAGCCAUUGUUUUCAAAUGAAGAAUACUGAAUAGUUUUAAGCCUCAGUGCUUUUUAAUCACCACUGAGAUUUCCCCCAUAACAUCAGAAUGGCAAGCAGGCGAAAAUCAACAACACCCUGCAUGGUCCUUGCCAGUGAACAGGAUCCAGACCUCGAGUUGAUAUCAGAUUUGGAUGAAGGGCCUCCUGUACUCACGCCUGUAGAAAACAGCAGAGCAGAGAGCAUGUCGAGUGAGGAAGAAGUUCAUGAAUCUGUGGAUUCUGACAAUCAGCAAAAUAAAAAAGUUGAAGGUGGUUAUGAAUGUAAAUAUUGUACUUUUCAAACUCCAGACCUAAAUAUGUUUACUUUUCAUGUGGAUUCAGAACAUCCCAACAUAGUGCUAAAUUCCUCCUACGUUUGUGUCGAAUGUAAUUUUCUCACCAAAAGGUAUGAUGCACUUUCUGAGCAUAAUCUGAGGCACCACCCAGGAGAAGAGAAUUUUAGGUUGACUAUGGUGAAACGAAAUAACCAGACAAUCUUUGAACAAACUAUAAACGAUCUGACUUUUGAUGGUAGUUUUGUUAAAGAGGAGAACUCAGAGCCCGCUGAAUCUACAGACGUUUCUUCUUCAGGAAUUCCUAUCAGUAAAACUCCCAUCAUGAAAAUGAUGAAAAAUAAAGUGGAGAACAAGCGUAUUACAGUUCAUCAUAACUCAGUUGAGGAUGUUCCUGAAGAGAAAGAGAAGGAGAUCAAACCAGACCACGAAGAAAGUGUGGAAAGUCCUAGUUCUUCAGCUUCUGACUCUAAUACCAGUACUUCCAUUGUCAACAGAAUACACCCAAAUGCUGCCAGCACGGUAGUCACCCCGGCAGCAGUUCUUCCUGGACUAGCACAGGUGAUAACCGCUGUGUCAGCUCAGCAGAAUUCCAAUUUGAUUCCCAAAGUCUUAAUUCCUGUUAGUAGCAUUCCUACCUACAAUGUUGCAUUGGAUAACAACCCCCUUUUGCUUAACACCUACAAAAAAUUCCCUUAUCCAACCAUGUCAGAAAUUACUGUUCUUUCCGCUCAAGCAAAAUAUACAGAGGAACAGAUCAAGAUAUGGUUUUCAGCCCAACGUCUAAAACAUGGUGUGAGCUGGACUCCUGAGGAAGUAGAGGAGGCAAGAAGAAAGCAAUUCAAUGGAACAGUACACACUGUACCUCAGACCAUAACUGUUAUUCCAACACACAUUUCCACAGGGAGUAAUGGCUUACCAUCCAUUUUACAGACAUGCCAAAUAGUUGGUCAGCCAGGCCUGGUUCUUACACAAGUAGCUGGAACAAACACCUUGCCGGUAACAGCACCGAUAGCCUUGACAGUGGCAGGGGUGCCAAAUCAAAGCAGUGUACAGAAAAGUCAGGCCCCUGCUGCUCAGCCUCCUGCAGAAACAAAACCAGCAGCAGUAGCCGCCGCCGCCGCCGCAGCCGCAGCAGCAGCAGCAGCAGCAGUCCCAGCAGCAGUCCCAGCAGCAGUCCCAGCAGCAGUCCCAACAGCAGUCCCAACUUCUCAGCCUGUCAAACACGAAACUGCACUGGCAAACCCCGAUUCAUUUGGCAUUCGGGCAAAAAAGACUAAAGAGCAACUGGCAGAAUUAAAAGUCAGCUACCUUAAAAAUCAGUUUCCUCAUGACUCAGAAAUUAGCAGACUUAUGAAAAUCACAGGCUUGACAAAAGGAGAGAUUAAAAAAUGGUUUAGUGACACGAGGUACAACCAGAGAAAUUCAAAGAGUAAUCAGUGCUUACAUCUCAACAAUGAUUCCUCCACUCCCAUUAUUAUAGACUCCAGUGAUGAAACCACGGAAUCCCCAACUGCUGUUACUUCACAGCAUAAACAAUCCUGGAAUCCUUUCCCCGACUUUACUCCCCAAAAGUUUAAAGAGAAGACAGCAGAGCAGCUCCAGGCCCUUCAGGCCAGUUUUCUCAGCAACUCCGUACUGACAGAUGAAGAAUUAAAUAGGUUAAGAGCGCAAACCAAACUGACCAGGAGAGAAAUUGAUGCUUGGUUUACAGAGAAGAAGAAAUCAAAAGCUUUAAAGGAAGAGAAAAUGGAAGUAGAUGAAACUAAUGCAGGUAGUUCCAAAGAAGAAGCGGGAGAAACUUCUCCUGGAGAUGAAUCUGGUGCACCUAAGGCAGGGAGUGCAGGCAAGAUAUGUAAAAAAACACCUGAGCAAUUGCACAUGCUCAAAAGCGCAUUUGUCCGAACCCAGUGGCCGUCACCAGAAGAGUAUGACAAGUUGGCCAAAGAAAGCGGGCUUGCUAGACCAGACAUAGUUAGUUGGUUUGGGGACACCCGUUAUGCUUGGAAAAAUGGAAACUUAAAAUGGUACUACUACUAUCAAAGCUCCAAUUCAAGUGGUAUGAAUGGUCUGUCUUCCCUUAGGAGAAGGGGGAGAGGGAGACCCAAAGGAAGGGGAAGAGGAAGGCCGCGCGGGCGGCCUAGAGGAGGCAAGAGAAUGAACAACUGGGACAGGGGGGCGUCACUCAUAAAAUUUAAAACUGGAACUGCAAUACUUAAGGAUUAUUACCUGAAGCACAAAUUUCUUAAUGAGCAAGACCUGGACGAACUUGUUAACAAAUCACACAUGGGCUAUGAGCAGGUCAGAGAGUGGUUUGCCGAAAGACAGAGAAGAUCAGAGUUAGGUAUAGAGUUAUUUGAGGAAAAUGAGGAGGAAGAUGAAGUUAUUGAUGAUCAGGAAGAGGAUGAAGAAGAAACAGAUGAUAGUGACACCUGGGAACCCCCACAACAUGUGAAGCGGAAGCUCUCUAAAUCAGAUGACUGAAAUGAAAGAAUUAAAAAACAAAAACUAAAAAGAAGGGGGAAAGUAUACUGAAGGAAAGACUUGCCACAGGGGUGAGGAUUGCUCAGUUUCAGAAAACUAGUUGCCUAAAACGUUGGAGGAGAAUCAAUUCUUCAACUCAAGCUGUCUGAUUUACUGUGAAUGGGCUCAAUCUUUAAUGACACUGAAACCCUUUGGGAGCAUACACAUUCUCAAAAAAUAGGAUCCAGUACCCAAAAGAAAUGGAACUUAAUGUUGUGCCAAAGUUAAACUACUGCAGCUGGUGAAAGUUCUGCAAUGUAAAUAGAACACAUUAAAAAACAACUUGUAAAAAUUCAAAUUUUAAUACAUUUUUAUUCUGAUAAGAUGGAGACAUUCUGAUUCUUGGACUUUCAGAGGGGGUUUAAUGACCACUAGAGCUUGUCCUCAUAUUUUGUCUAGUGUAAUACUGUAUAUCUGGUGAGAUGGACCUUAUUGUCUGUAUUCUCUGAUAUGUUAUUAAGCUUAUACUUUGAGUGACCAAACAUUUCCCAGAGUAAAAAUUGUUGGAAACAGGAAAAAGAAAAACCUGAUUUAUUUUUGUCUUGUUUAUCAGGCCCUGCACGAAGAUUAAAAGUUAUGCAUGGGCUUAUUCAUUUUCAAUGUAAGUGAGAAUACAGCCUUUUGACACACGUUGGCACAAUAAGAGUUUGUGGUAUUAUUGGCCCUUAAUGAUUAGAUCUUUCAUGGAUACCACUAUUACUACUUGUAAUGCUUCUGUUACUUGUUUUCAUUCGAAGCUGAAUUUGCUUUUUAUUAAACUGAAGAUAAUCAACACUGAAGAAGGAAAAGAAACUGGCAUUAGAAUUUGGAUGGGGUGAAACUCUGAAAUAAAUGCUAUGCCAAUCGUAUGGAAAUCAAACGUUUGUACAGGUGUCAGAUCACAAUUGUCAAGAAUUACCUUUCAGUGAAAUUCUACUUUGUGUAAUAACUUCAGUGAAUAGAGAAAAAAUUCUUAACUGAUCAUAAUGAAUUAAAAGUCAGCUUUUCAGGAGACUGAAAGUUCCUACUAACUUAUAAACCUUGUAAAAACCGGUGCUGUUCAUGUUGAGAAGGACCCUUUCUUUUGUGACUAGGGGACCAUUUUUCAAAAUGUGCUUUUUCAUGGAAGAAAUGUUCAGUUCAAUUAGCUUUGUAUUUUAUUUUAUUUAUUUUCAUUUUCUUUUAUUCCUCACCUGAGGACAUGCUGAGAGAGAGAGAGAGAGAGAGAGAGAGAGAGAGAGAGAGAGAAAGAAAGAAUUGGUUGCCUUCUGUAGGGCAUAUGCCCUGACCAGGAAUGGAACCAGCAACCUUUCGGUGCACAGGACAAUGCUCAGCCAACUAAGCCACUCUGGCAGGGCUCAGUUAGCUUUGUGUUUUAAAAUGUUGGGGAUUUUUGUUUGUUUUUUCUGAAUGACCAGAUGUAGUGGGCUUGGCCAGUUUAAUCUAAUUUAAUGGAUAAUAAAUAUUAAUCUCAUGUUUUUACCUAAAUGUUUGUCAUCUAAUGAAAAUGUUAUGAAAAAGCCUUGAAUAUGCAUGCUGCUUUCAUUUUUAUAAACUUUUCAUUUUUUAACUAUAGCUUUAUUAGUAAUUCCAAAAUGCUGCCAUUUAGCUGAUUUCUUCUCUCAGACAGCUGGCUUUGUGGGUGGCUUUUUCAUACUACUGUUAACUUUUUUAAAAGAAACAAUGUAAAGACUGUAACAAUUUAAUGCACUAAACUGUUCUUUCUUUUACACAUUAAAAAACUUCUUAAAGCUCUGUAUUAUAAUAAUUAAAUUGCUCCCUUUUUUAAACCAUUGCUAAUGUGGUCUGAGUUUUGCUUGGUAAUAAUUUUCAUAUUUUCAAAAUUUGAAAUGUCAAGUAUUAGAUAAGUAUACAGCCAUUGAAUAUACUUACAUUAUAUUUCCCUUACAAUAUGUAACUUUGUAUAGCUGUUAAAACUAUUGAAAUGUUCCCUCCUGUCUCUUUUUUAGACUUGGCCCUUAAUUCUGCUCUGAUGUUUGCUAGAUUUUAAGUAUAUUUAUUUGACAGAGCAAAAGAACCCCUCCUGGUUGUAUCCAAAAUAAAAGUUAGCUGUGAUUA
Molecule: RNA transcript, 5160 nt
Organism: Myotis lucifugus (little brown bat)
Lineage: Eukaryota; Metazoa; Chordata; Mammalia; Chiroptera; Vespertilionidae
Gene: ZHX1
Gene name: zinc fingers and homeoboxes 1
Exons: 5
Source: RefSeq, a predicted model, not a curated record